Ictidomys tridecemlineatus (thirteen-lined ground squirrel) is the source of this 1989-nucleotide non-coding RNA. Lineage: Eukaryota; Metazoa; Chordata; Mammalia; Rodentia; Sciuridae. The record is from RefSeq and is a predicted model, not a curated record.
CUACCUCUGCAGCACCAGUCCCCAGGUGGCACGGAUUGACUGUCCUCCCAGACGAAUUAUUACUGCAGUACCCACAGGGGCCAGCUUCAGUCUGAUUCCUGGGGCUGCCAGGACAUCACAGCCAUGGGGCCUGAGCCUCUAACCUGACAGCCAGCCGAGGAGCUUCCAGUGCCAAUUGAAAACUUCUCCCUUGGACUCAGCUCCCUCCAAGUCCUGGGCAGGGGACAAGUACCGGCAGCCAUGCAGGAGCCCAGAGGAGACUGUCUGCAGUGACCUUGCAGAGUCAGGACAGCCCUGGGGAAAAGCUACCUAGAUCCUGGAGAGAAAUCCAUCUCCCUCACCCUAUGCUUGCAGACCUUGGGAGCUCCAGGUCAACAGACUGCAAGGGAGACUGGGGACACGACACGGAGAAGAAUCGCCACACUCCUCCACCCCUGGCAGGAGAAAUUGGAAUGGUGCAGAGCCAAUGAUCAGUCUCAGUUGUCUUGGAAUGAGAAGUCCCUUGUGCCCACCCCACAGGAACACACAGAGGCCGUCCCAAAACCCUUGAUCCCCUGUACUGGAGCCCAGCAUUCCUGAUCCACCCACUGUACUAGUCGACCCAGGAGACCUGGCUGUUGGGCUGCAAAACCCUGCAGGGAGUCCUCUGCUUCUGGCCCAUGUCCUUGGCCCUUUCCUAAAGACCGGCCAGGGUAGACCAGGUUGGUGGAGACACAGCUUCCUGGAAUGCUCGAAUGAGCUAUGAGUUCUGGAUGACGCCAUCUUGGAUUUGGUCAGCUCCUGGGGAAUCCUCUUCCUGGCCUGUUCCCCAGUAGAAAGCCUGGUGUCCGGUGAGCCCUGGGCUCCAGUCCCAGUCUCUUCUGGAUCCCUCCAAAUCUUGAACACAGGUGGAUCAGGAAGGUGGAGCCCCAUGCCUACUUCUAGGUCACACUGGGAAUUUGUCCUUUAUAUUGGUUUUGGAACCCACUCCCCCCCACACACCUUCAUCCACCCUGCUUACUGUGUCUCUCUUUUGUUUUAUGUUGUCUGUGUCCUAUCUCCUUCCACCCUCACGACCUGCACUUUUGGCUCAAGAUAGCACUGAGCUGGGGUUGAGAGAUUUGGGGAUCUUUCUGGGGGUGUUCACAGCCAUGUUCCCUGAAAGCCAUCCCCCAGAGACUCUGGGAGAGAUGGGGUAAUUUUGCUUCCUUCCCAGCUAUGAUUUAUGGGCUGCUGUGUCUUUCACAGUUAAGAGAACAUUUUAGAGUAUUCCUGGAAGCGUGUCUCAGGAAGUGCCAAUUAACCCCAGAAACCUGUGGAGGGGGAGUUGAAGUCCUGGGCUUCUGACCAGAUUUGGUCUCACAUUUAGAAACCCUGUGUACCCAGGGCUGUGGCUGAGUCUGAGUUUAGGACGAAGACCAAGUGUGGACCUGUGAGUCCGCCUCUGCUGGGUGCUCAUGAUCCCUUCAUUACUCACCCGACCACUCAUUCAUUUGUUUAUCAUGACCCUCUAAUUUAUUCCUAGUCACUCAUUUAUUCCCAUUGGUCAGUUUUUAAAUUUAUGCAUUUCUUCUUGACUUGUUUACUCAUUCAUAUACUCAUCCAUUGAUUCUUUUUAUGUCUGGCUUUAUUGAGGCACAAUACACAGGACACAUUUAAUGAGCAUAAUUUCCCUUGAAAUUAUGAAUCGAUAAAGGAAGUGUGAAAUACCUACACAUCGGGGUGCCCUCCCAUCAUGAAGAAUGGGAUCCUGUUGUUUGUGGCAUGGAACUGGAGAAGCUUAUGUGAAGCCAGGCAUGGAAAGACAAAUACUGAGCUUGUUCUUAGUUCUAUGUGGAAGUUAAAACAGUUGGUCUUAGAGAAGUAGGGCGUAUCAUAGUGGUUACCAGAGGCUGGGAAGGUUGAGGAGAGAGAGGGAGGUUGAUUAAUGGGUACAAAAAUACAGUUAGACGGGAAGAGCAAGUUUCUGUAUUUUAUAACACAAUAGGGUGACUACAGUUAUCAGUAGUG